Molecule: ribosomal RNA, 662 nt
Filed under: uncultured Pseudomonadaceae bacterium
Lineage: Bacteria; Pseudomonadati; Pseudomonadota; Gammaproteobacteria; Pseudomonadales; Pseudomonadaceae
Description: SSU rRNA
Rfam family: Bacterial small subunit ribosomal RNA
Source: RNAcentral
GCCUGGUAGUGGGGGAUAACGUCCGGAAACGGGCGCUAAUACCGCAUACGUCCUGAGGGAGAAAGUGGGGGAUCUUCGGACCUCACGCUAUCAGAUGAGCCUAGGUCGGAUUAGCUAGUUGGUGGGGUAAAGGCCUACCAAGGCGACGAUCCGUAACUGGUCUGAGAGGAUGAUCAGUCACACUGGAACUGAGACACGGUCCAGACUCCUACGGGAGGCAGCAGUGGGGAAUAUUGGACGAUGGGCGAAAGCCUGAUCCAGCCAUGCCGCGUGUGUGAAGAAGGUCUUCGGAUUGUAAAGCACUUUAAGUUGGGAGGAAGGGCAGUAAGUUAAUACCUUGCUGUUUUGACGUUACCAACAGAAUAAGCACCGGCUAACUUCGUGCCAGCAGCCGCGGUAAUACGAAGGGUGCAAGCGUUAAUCGGAAUUACUGGGCGUAAAGCGCGCGUAGGUGGUUCAGCAAGUUGGAUGUGAAAUCCCCGGGCUCAACCUGGGAACUGCAUCCAAAACUACUGAGCUAGAGUACGGUAGAGGGUGGUGGAAUUUCCCUGUGUAGCGUGUGAAAUGCGUAGAUAUAGGAAGGAACACCAGUGGCGAAGGCGACCACCUGGACUGAUACUGACACUGAGGUGCGAAAGCGUGGGGAGCAAACAGGAUUAGAU